GGCCCCAUGGCUUAGUUGGUUAAAGCGCCUGUCUUGUAAACAGGAGAUCCUGGGUUCGAGUCCCAGUGGGGCCU
Molecule: transfer RNA, 74 nt
Filed under: Felis catus (domestic cat)
Lineage: Eukaryota; Metazoa; Chordata; Mammalia; Carnivora; Felidae
Also listed under: 4 other names
Description: tRNA-Thr (TGT) (tRNA-Thr-TGT-1-1)
Rfam family: tRNA
About the family: Transfer RNA (tRNA) molecules are approximately 80 nucleotides in length. Their secondary structure includes four short double-helical elements and three loops (D, anti-codon, and T loops). Further hydrogen bonds mediate the characteristic L-shaped molecular structure. tRNAs have two regions of fundamental functional importance: the anti-codon, which is responsible for specific mRNA codon recognition, and the 3' end, to which the tRNAs corresponding amino acid is attached (by aminoacyl-tRNA synthetases). tRNAs cope with the degeneracy of the genetic code in two manners: having more than one tRNA (with a specific anti-codon) for a particular amino acid; and 'wobble' base-pairing, i.e. permitting non-standard base-pairing at the 3rd anti-codon position.
Source: Rfam by way of RNAcentral